UUAAUGAGAGUUUGAUCCUGGCUCAGGACGAACGCUGGCGGCGUGCCUAAUACAUGCAAGUAGAACGCUGAGGACUGGUGCUUGCACCGGUCCAAGGAGUUGCGAACGGGUGAGUAACGCGUAGGUAACCUACCUCAUAGCGGGGGAUAACUAUUGGAAACGAUAGCUAAUACCGCAUAAAAGUGUUUAACCCAUGUUAAACAUUUAAAAGGUGCAACUGCAUCACUAUGAGAUGGACCUGCGUUGUAUUAGCUAGUUGGUGAGGUAACGGCUCACCAAGGCGACGAUACAUAGCCGACCUGAGAGGGUGAUCGGCCACACUGGGACUGAGACACGGCCCAGACUCCUAC
Molecule: ribosomal RNA, 350 nt
Filed under: Streptococcus dysgalactiae subsp. equisimilis
Lineage: Bacteria; Bacillati; Bacillota; Bacilli; Lactobacillales; Streptococcaceae
Description: bacterial SSU rRNA
Rfam family: Bacterial small subunit ribosomal RNA
Source: RNAcentral